This 254-nucleotide long non-coding RNA is filed under the name Homo sapiens (human). RNAcentral's name for it is "HSALNT0100931". Lineage: Eukaryota; Metazoa; Chordata; Mammalia; Primates; Hominidae. The record is from RNAcentral.
UAAAUUAGAAUCACCGGGUUGCUCUCCGGGAUCCUGCCUGCUCUUUGAUUAUCCUCAAUCCAGGAAGCCCCAGGCUCCACCAAAACAAACUGACUCACUGUGCCUGGCACCUUCUCUCACAUGCGGCCUUUCCUGCAUGACCCGGCCACCCCUCCACACAGGCUGCUCAGCGUCACUUCCUCUGAACUCCCAGCCCUCCCAAGGGACUGACAUGUUGCUUCAUAUGGUAGCAGCCACACAUGGUCCUGCUUAGA